Molecule: ribosomal RNA, 253 nt
Filed under: uncultured bacterium
Lineage: Bacteria
Description: partial 16S ribosomal RNA
Rfam family: Bacterial small subunit ribosomal RNA
Source: RNAcentral
UACGAAGGGGGCUAGCGUUGCUCGGAAUCACUGGGCGUAAAGGGGGCGUAGGCGGGCCUUUAAGUCAGGGGUGAAAUCCUGGAGCUCAACUCCAGAACUGCCUUUGAUACUGAAGAUCUUGAGUUCGGGAGAGGUGAGUGGAACUGCGAGUGUAGAGGUGAAAUUCGUAGAUAUUCGCAAGAACACCAGUGGCGACGGCGGCUCACUGGCCCGAUACUGACGCUGAGGCACGAAAGCGUGGGGAGCAAACAGG